RNAcentral lists this microRNA precursor (126 nucleotides) under Mus caroli (Ryukyu mouse). Its description in RNAcentral is "miRNA (MGP_CAROLIEiJ_G0007622.1)". Lineage: Eukaryota; Metazoa; Chordata; Mammalia; Rodentia; Muridae. The record is from RNAcentral.
GGUUUCUCUGUGUAGUCCUGGCUGUCCUGGAACUCACUCUAUAGACCAGGCUGGACUCGAACUCAGAAAUCCACCUCCCUCUGCCUCCAGACUGCUGGGAUUAAAGGCGUGCGCCACCAAUGCCCA